Molecule: transfer RNA, 77 nt
Filed under: Gammaproteobacteria bacterium
Lineage: Bacteria; Pseudomonadati; Pseudomonadota; Gammaproteobacteria
Description: tRNA-Pro
Rfam family: tRNA
About the family: Transfer RNA (tRNA) molecules are approximately 80 nucleotides in length. Their secondary structure includes four short double-helical elements and three loops (D, anti-codon, and T loops). Further hydrogen bonds mediate the characteristic L-shaped molecular structure. tRNAs have two regions of fundamental functional importance: the anti-codon, which is responsible for specific mRNA codon recognition, and the 3' end, to which the tRNAs corresponding amino acid is attached (by aminoacyl-tRNA synthetases). tRNAs cope with the degeneracy of the genetic code in two manners: having more than one tRNA (with a specific anti-codon) for a particular amino acid; and 'wobble' base-pairing, i.e. permitting non-standard base-pairing at the 3rd anti-codon position.
Source: RNAcentral
CGGAGCAUGGCGCAGUCUGGUAGCGCACUUGUCUGGGGGACAAGGGGUCGCAAGUUCGAAUCUUGCUGUUCCGACCA